AUACGUAGGUGACAAGCGUUAUCCGGAUUUACUGGGCGUAAAGGGCGUGUAGGCGGUCUUGCAAGUCAGAAGUGAAAUUCCUGAGCUCAACUCGGGCGCUGCUUCUGAAACUGCAGGACUUGAGUGCUGGAGGGGAUAGCGGAAUUCCUAGUGGAGCGGUAAAAUGCGCAGAUAUUAGGAAGAACACCGGUGGCGAAGGCGGCUAUCUGGACAGUAACGGACGCUGAGGCGCGAAAGCGUGGGGAGCAAACAGGAUUAGAUCCCCUGGUAGUCCACGCCGUAAACGAUGAAUACUAGGCGUAGGGGGUAUCGACUCCCUCUGUGCCGCAGUUAACACAAUAAGUAUUCCGCCUGGGGAGUACGGCCGCAAGGUUGAAACUCAAAUGAAUUGACGGGG
Molecule: ribosomal RNA, 397 nt
Filed under: uncultured bacterium
Lineage: Bacteria
Description: partial 16S ribosomal RNA
Rfam family: Bacterial small subunit ribosomal RNA
Source: RNAcentral